This 496-nucleotide ribosomal RNA is filed under the name uncultured bacterium. RNAcentral's name for it is "partial 16S ribosomal RNA". It matches the Rfam family "Bacterial small subunit ribosomal RNA", at positions 28 to 507 of the family's 1533-position model. The record is from RNAcentral.
GAUGAACGCUGGCGGCGUGCCUAAUACAUGCAAGUAGAACGCUGAAGGAGGAGCUUGCUCUUUCCGGAUGAGUUGCGAACGGGUGAGUAACGCGUAGGUAACCUGCCUGGAAGCGGGGGAUAACUAUUGGAAACGAUAGCUAAUACCGCAUAACAGUAGAUAUUGCAUGAUAUUUGCUUGAAAGGGGCAAUUGCUCCACUACCAAAUGGACCUGCGUUGUAUUAGCUAGUUGGUGAGGUAUCGGCUCACCAAGGCGACGAUACAUAGCCGACAUUAAAGGGUGAACGGCCACGCUAGGACAGAAACACGGCCCAGACUCUUACGGGAGGCAGCAGUAGUGAAUCUUCGGCAAAGGACGGAAGACUGACCGAGCAACGCCGCGUGAGUGAAGAAUGUUUUCGGAUCGUAAAGCUCGGUUGUAAGAGAAGGACGAGUGUGAGAGUGGAAAGUUCACACUGUGACGGUAUCUUACCAGAAAGGGACGGCUAACUACGUG